UCGAUGCCUUACAAGCUGUGCGACCCGUGCAUUUGUUAUACUACUCAGGGGCGGCUCAGGGUGUUUGACGCCUCGAACCCCCUUAGCCAGGAGGCGCCCCACCUCGUGUGGUUUCCUUCUGGCCAAACAACAAACCCCGGCGCCAAAUGCGCCAAGGAACUCCAAAUUGUUUAGUGCGCUCCCGUCGACCCGGACACGGUGCUCGUGCGGUGGGCGAUGCGACAUACGUUAUCAAA
This 236-nucleotide ribosomal RNA is filed under the name Styphnolobium japonicum (Japanese pagoda tree). The record is from RNAcentral. Lineage: Eukaryota; Viridiplantae; Streptophyta; Magnoliopsida; Fabales; Fabaceae.